AAGACUUCACAAAGGUUUCAUAACCACACUCGAGACGCUGAUUUGAGCCUCUCCCAAUUCUCUAAUAACCUUGUUAGAGGUUAACCAGGCAGGGCUUAAUAUGGCUCUUCACCAGUGGUUUCUGGCUGCAUUUGGUGUCACC
Microcebus murinus (gray mouse lemur) is the source of this 142-nucleotide unclassified non-coding RNA. NCBI's taxonomy places the organism in Eukaryota, Metazoa, Chordata, Mammalia, Primates, Cheirogaleidae. The record is from Ensembl.